GACGAACGCUGGCGGCGUGCUUAACACAUGCCAGUCGAACGGAAAGGCCCUGCUUUUGUGGGGUGCUCGAGUGGCGAACGGGUGAGUAACACGUGAGUAACCUGCCCUUGACUUUGGGAUAACUUCAGGAAACUGGGGCUAAUACCGGAUAGGAGCUCCUGCUGCAUGGUGGGGGUUGGAAAGUUUCGGCGGUUGGGGAUGGACUCGCGGCUUAUCAGCUUGUUGGUGGGGUAGUGGCUUACCAAGGCUUUGACGGGUAGCCGGCCUGUGAGGGUGACCGGACACGUGCGGGCGGCAGUGCAGCCGCGGGUGGGGCGGGGGGCGGGAGGGUGAAGUAGUGCACGGCGGGAGGGAGGCGGGCGCAGGCGCGGGGCGGGUGGGGGGCAGGCUUGUGGGUUUCAACCCCCUGUGGCGUGGGAGGAGGGGGGGGGGGCGGUAAGUGGAAAAGAGGCACCUGCUAACAACGUGCCGGCAGACGGGUGAAUAAACGGAAGCGAAAGCGUCUGAAC
Molecule: ribosomal RNA, 509 nt
Filed under: uncultured bacterium
Lineage: Bacteria
Description: partial 16S ribosomal RNA
Rfam family: Bacterial small subunit ribosomal RNA (bases 20-329)
Source: RNAcentral